GGAGGGGUCGCAUAGUCUGGUCUAGUGCGGCACAUUGCUAACGUGCUAAGGGAGUAAAAUCCCUUCGUGGGUUCAAAUCCCACCCCCUCCGCCA
RNAcentral lists this transfer RNA (94 nucleotides) under Parcubacteria group bacterium CG08_land_8_20_14_0_20_38_56. RNAcentral describes it as "tRNA-Ser". It matches the Rfam family "tRNA". From Rfam's summary of the family: Transfer RNA (tRNA) molecules are approximately 80 nucleotides in length. Their secondary structure includes four short double-helical elements and three loops (D, anti-codon, and T loops). Further hydrogen bonds mediate the characteristic L-shaped molecular structure. tRNAs have two regions of fundamental functional importance: the anti-codon, which is responsible for specific mRNA codon recognition, and the 3' end, to which the tRNAs corresponding amino acid is attached (by aminoacyl-tRNA synthetases). tRNAs cope with the degeneracy of the genetic code in two manners: having more than one tRNA (with a specific anti-codon) for a particular amino acid; and 'wobble' base-pairing, i.e. permitting non-standard base-pairing at the 3rd anti-codon position. RNAcentral also lists the same sequence under 1 other name. The record is from RNAcentral.